RNAcentral lists this ribosomal RNA (174 nucleotides) under Triticum aestivum (bread wheat). Its description in RNAcentral is "partial small subunit ribosomal RNA". The record is from RNAcentral. Lineage: Eukaryota; Viridiplantae; Streptophyta; Magnoliopsida; Poales; Poaceae.
AUGGCCUCCCUCAUAAUGCUUGUUUCCUGGAUGGUUUGGAAUGAGCAAAAUGCUCGGGUCUUUCGCCACAAAAGCGUGCUGCCUACAAUCAUGCUCAACGUGAUUGUCGAGGAGAUGAAACUUUAGAUAACCGCGGGUGCAAAGAAACUAGGGGUUUUGAUGUUGGGAGAGUAA